Molecule: ribosomal RNA, 330 nt
Filed under: uncultured bacterium
Lineage: Bacteria
Description: bacterial SSU rRNA
Rfam family: Bacterial small subunit ribosomal RNA
Source: RNAcentral
CGUGUAGGCGGCUCAUCAAGUCUGGUGUGAAAACGCAAGGCUUAACCUUGCGUAUGCGCUGGAAACUGGUGGGCUUGAGUUCCUGAGGGGAAGCUGGAAUUCCAGGUGUAGGGGUGAAAUCUGUAGAUAUCUGGAAGAACACCGGUGGCGAAGGCGAGCUUCUAUCAGAGGACUGACGCUGAGGCGCGAAAGCGUGGGGAGCAAACAGGAUUAGAUACCCUGGUAGUCCACGCUGUAAACGAUGUGCACUAGGCGUGGGGCCCGUACGGGUUCUGUGCCGUAGUUAACGUGUUAAGUGCGCCGCCUGGGGAGUAUGCUCGCAAGGGUGAA